RNAcentral lists this ribosomal RNA (315 nucleotides) under Triticum aestivum (bread wheat). Its description in RNAcentral is "partial small subunit ribosomal RNA". Lineage: Eukaryota; Viridiplantae; Streptophyta; Magnoliopsida; Poales; Poaceae. The record is from RNAcentral.
AUGUUUGGCCUUUCUUUGACACAAAAAGGGGGUUGCAAUCGGCUUAUUAUCAAUUCUGACAAUAUGGAAGUAAUUGACACAAUGAAGAAUGAAGGAUACUCUGCAGGAGCGGCGGCUGUAAUUUUUGAGAAUUGUUUUUUUAUGGCUUGUGAUUUUCCUAUUUGUAGUUUCAAGCAUUGUAAUAGAGAAGCGAACAAAGUAGCUCAUGAACUAGCUAGAUUAGCAAAAUAUUCCAGUACGUUGAAGUGGAUGGAGGAACCCAAUGAAAGUAUUGUACCGCUUCUUAUAGACGAUGUAACUAUUAUUUCUACUUAA